RNAcentral lists this non-coding RNA (21 nucleotides) under Arabidopsis thaliana (thale cress). The record is from RNAcentral. Lineage: Eukaryota; Viridiplantae; Streptophyta; Magnoliopsida; Brassicales; Brassicaceae.
GCACAAGCCCGAUGUAUUGCC